Molecule: ribosomal RNA, 450 nt
Filed under: uncultured Entrophospora
Lineage: Eukaryota; Fungi; Glomeromycota; Glomeromycetes; Entrophosporales; Entrophosporaceae
Description: SSU rRNA
Rfam family: Eukaryotic small subunit ribosomal RNA
Source: RNAcentral
AGCAGCCGCGGUAAUUCCAGCUCCAAUAGCGUAUAUUAAAGUUGUUGCAGUUAAAAAGCUCGUAGUUGAAUUUCGGGAUUGGCGCAUCGGUCGUGCCUUACGGGGUAUGAACUGGUGCAGUCAAUUUCUCACCUUCUGGAGAACCGCGAUGUCCUUAAUUGGGUGCCGCGAGGAACCAGGACCUUUACUUUGAAAAAUUAGAGUGUUUAAAGCAGGCAUUUUUGCUUGAAUACAUUAGCAUGGAAUAAUAAAAUAGGACGGCAUGGUUCUAUUUUGUUGGUUUCUAGGACCACCGUAAUGAUUAAUAGGGAUAGUUGGGGGCAUUAGUAUUCAAUUGUCAGAGGUGAAAUUCUUGGAUUUAUUGAAGACUAACUACUGCGAAAGCAUUUGCCAAGGAUGUUUUCAUUAAUCAAGAACGAAAGUUAGGGGAUCGAAGACGAUCAGAUACCG